Leptidea sinapis is the source of this 1049-nucleotide long non-coding RNA. RefSeq lists it as uncharacterized. Lineage: Eukaryota; Metazoa; Arthropoda; Insecta; Lepidoptera; Pieridae. The record is from RefSeq and is a predicted model, not a curated record. The transcript has 5 exons.
CAAAUCGUCAACGCAACCAACAUAGCCAAAAUGUCAACGAACAAAUAACUUUUCAAAUCACCAUAAAAUCAUUUUCAAAUCACAAAUACAUAGGUUGACCAUAUUAAUACAUUACCUAUCUCAGUAAAAGAAAACAUGGCUAAGAAACGCAAUAGUGGUCCAAGCACAAUAAGCCGACGUUCCAAACCCUCGGCUGCUCCGAGCGAACAAUACAAAAAUAUCAACAUAGAAAAUAUCAAGGCAUACAUAAACAAUCUUGUGAAAGCCGGCAUCUCCAAAACACACUAUCAUUAUUUUGUCGUCUUCACAAUAAUUCUAAUGAUCGUACUAACAUUUUUAAUACCCGACUUAUCCGUACGACGAGUUGAGUUGCAACAUAUGAACAAAAUAAUGGAUCGAGUGACGGAAGACAUUGGACAGGCUGAAGCAGCGUGUUUAUCAGCCGCUGACGAAUUAUGUACUCUGCACCGAUCCUAUGGUGUUGAAAGUCUAGAAACUGCCGAAUUUCACAGUGCGCGAGGGUCAUCGAGUUGUCACUCAGCACCAGCGAAGUUGCAAGCACUUAGUGUGACCCCGCUGCGAACGGAUGAAAGAAUACCAACAGCCAAUUUUUCGUCCCACUUAGACACACACCAGGAAGAGUGACUUGCAGCCUGCAGAGAACUAUACAAAAUAUUGGAACCGCCUAUGAUCAGCUGCACAAAGAACUACAUUAUUUAGUAGAAGUCGAAAGUAAUGGAUUUGUUCAAACACGUAAACCAAGUCUAGAUCGUAGGAAGCAACAUGAUAUCAAUAUUCUUACAGCUUUCAGAGAAAAAGACCUAAACCUAAGAAAUACUUCAAAAAAUGAAAAAGGCUGCAUGAUAAAUGCAACUACACUGACGAGAUAUCCGUUCAAAUCAACGGAAGUUGGAAAUAAAACAAGACAUCUCUGUUUUAUCCAUAAACAUGCAACAUGAUUCUAAUUUCUAGCUACUAAACAUGUGUCUUGCAUCUUGUAAAAAUCUUGUAAACUAAAAAGGGGAAAUAAAAAAGAUAUUGUCCAUAAA